GGGGGAUAUUGCGCAAUGGGGGCAACCCUGACGCAGCAACGCCGCGUGAAGGGUGAAGGUUUUCGGAUUGUAAACUUCUUUUAUUAAGGACGAAACUUGACGGUACUUAAUGAAUAAGCUCCGGCUAACUACGUGCCAGCAGCCGCGGUAAUACGUAGGGAGCAAGCGUUGUCCGGAUUUACUGGGUGUAAAGGGUGCGUAGGCGGCUUUGCAAGUCAGAUGUGAAAUCUAUGGGCUCAACCCAUAAACUGCAUUUGAAACUGUAGAGCUUGAGUGAAGUAGAGGCAGGCGGAAUUCCCCGUGUAGCGGUGAAAUGCGUAGAGAUGGGGAGGAACACCAGUGGCGAAGGCGGCCUGCUGGGCUUUAACUGACGCUGAGGCACGAAAGCGUGGGUAGCAAACAGGAUUAGAUACCCUGGUAGUCCACGCUGUAAACGAUGAUUACUAGGUGUGGGGGGUCUGACCCCUUCCGUGCCGGAGUUAACACAAUAAGUAAUCCACCUGGGGAGUACGGCCGCAAGGUUGAAACUCAAAGGAAUUGACGGGGGCCCGCACAAGCAGUGGAGUAUGUGGUUUAAUUCGAAGCAACGCGAAGAACCUUACCAGGUCUUGACAUCCAACUAACGAAGUAGAGAUACAUUAGGUGCCCUUCGGGGAAAGUUGAGACAGGUGGUGCAUGGUUGUCGUCAGCUCGUGUCGUGAGAUGUUGGGUUAAGUCCCGCAACGAGCGCAACCCUUGCUAUUAGUUGCUACGCAAGAGCACUCUAAUAGGACUGCCGUUGACAAAACGGAGGAAGGUGGGGACGACGUCAAAUCAUCAUGCCCCUUAUGACCUGGGCUACACACGUACUACAAUGGAUGUUAACAGAGGGAAGCAAGACAGCGAUGUGGAGCAAACCCCUAAAAACAUUCUCAGUUCAGAUUGCAGGCUGCAACCCGCCUGCAUGAAGAUGGAAUUGCUAGUAAUCGCGGAUCAGCAUGCCGCGGUGAAUACGUUCCCG
RNAcentral lists this ribosomal RNA (1000 nucleotides) under uncultured organism. Its description in RNAcentral is "bacterial SSU rRNA". It matches the Rfam family "Bacterial small subunit ribosomal RNA", at positions 356 to 1376 of the family's 1533-position model. The record is from RNAcentral.